RNAcentral lists this transfer RNA (72 nucleotides) under Marmota monax (woodchuck). It matches the Rfam family "tRNA". From Rfam's summary of the family: Transfer RNA (tRNA) molecules are approximately 80 nucleotides in length. Their secondary structure includes four short double-helical elements and three loops (D, anti-codon, and T loops). The record is from Rfam by way of RNAcentral. Lineage: Eukaryota; Metazoa; Chordata; Mammalia; Rodentia; Sciuridae.
CUGGAUAUAGCUCACUGGUAGAGCAUGUGCUUAGUACACACAGAACCCUGGGUUCAAUUCCCAGCAUGUGGG